AACGAACGCUGGCGGCAGGCCUAACACAUGCAAGUCGAACGCUCCAGCAAUGGAGAGUGGCAGACGGGUGAGUAACACGUGGGAACCUUCCCUAUGGUUCGGAAUAGCUCAGGGAAACUUGGGGUAAUACCGGAUAAGCCCUUCGGGGGAAAGAUUAUCGCCAUUGGAUGGGCCCGCGUCGGAUUAGCUAGUUGGUGAGGUAACGGCUCACCAAGGCAACGAUCCGUAGCUGGUCUGAGAGGAUGAUCAGCCACACUGGGACUGAGACACGGCCCAGACUCCUACGGGAGGCAGCAGUGGGG
Molecule: ribosomal RNA, 302 nt
Filed under: uncultured bacterium
Lineage: Bacteria
Description: bacterial SSU rRNA
Rfam family: Bacterial small subunit ribosomal RNA
Source: RNAcentral